AAGGUCCCUAAUAUGUGCUCAGUGGUAAAGGAUGUGGUGUUGCUCAGACAGCCAGGAGGUUUGCUUAGAAGCAGCAAUCCUUAAAAGAAAGCGUAAUAGCUCACUGGUCAAGCGACACUGCGCCGAAAAUGUAACGGGGCUAAGCACAUUACCGAAGCUACGGACUUAUCAGCAAUGAUGAGUGGUAGGGGAGCACUCUGCCAACCUGUGAAGGUGUGUUGUGAAGCAUGCUGGAGGAAGCAGAGGAGAGUAUGUCGGCAUAAGUAGCGCAAAUACUGAUGAGAAGUCAGUACGCCGUAAACCUAAGGUUUCCUGGGGAAGGGACAUCCGCCCAGGGUUAGUCGGGCCUAAGAUGAGGCAGAAAGGCGUAAUCGAUGGACAGCUGGUUAAUAUUCCAGCACUUUCUGUAUGGCGUUUGACUGAAGGGGAGACGCAGUAGGAUAGUUCAAGCCUGGUGAUGGUUCAGGUCCAAGCGCAAAGGCUGUGUCAUAGGCAAAUCCGUGACACAUUAAGGCUGAAACGUGAUGGGGAAGGCUGUAAGAAGCUGAACUUGAGUGAUUCCACACUGACGAGAAAAGCCUCGUAGGGAGUCAUGCGGAAAACCGUACCGCAAACCGACACUGGUAGGUGAGUAGAAGAUACUAAGGCGAUCGAGUUAACCCUCGCUAAGGAACUCGGCAAAAUAACCCCGUAACUUCGGGAGAAGGGGUCCCUCCGCAAGGAGGGCGCAGUGAAGAGGCCCAGGCGACUGUUUACCAAAAACACAGGACUCUGCAAACUCGCAAGAGGAAGUAUAGGGUCUGACGCCUGCCCGGUGCCGGAAGGUUAACAGGAGGAGUCAACCGCAAGGUGAAGCUCUGAAUCGAAGCCCCGGUAAACGGCGGCCGUAACUAUAACGGUCCUAAGGUAGCGAAAUUCCUUGUCGGGUAAGUUCCGACCUGCACGAAUGGCGUAACGAUUUGAGCGCUGUCUCAACGAGGGGCACUGCGAAUUUGUGGUACCGGUGAAGACGCCGGUUGCCCGUGACUAGACGGAAAGACCCUGUGCACCUUUACUAUAGCUUGGCAGUGAGCUUUGGUGAUACAUGUGUAGGAUAGGUGGGAGGCUAUGAGAUUCAGUCGCUAGAUUGGAUGGAGCCGACGUUGAAAUACCACCCUUGUCUUACCGGGGCUCUAACCUGUCCCCGUUAUCCGGGGAAGGGACACUGUCUGGUGGGUAGUUUGACUGGGGCGGUCGCCUCCCAAAGAGUAACGGAGGCGUCCAAAGGUUCCCUCAGGCUGGUCGGAAA
RNAcentral lists this ribosomal RNA (1288 nucleotides) under Anaerolineae bacterium. RNAcentral describes it as "partial 23S ribosomal RNA (partial)". It matches the Rfam family "Bacterial large subunit ribosomal RNA", at positions 1041 to 2337 of the family's 2925-position model. The record is from RNAcentral. Lineage: Bacteria; Bacillati; Chloroflexota; Anaerolineae.